CGGGUGCACUGAUCCAGCCGGGCCUUUCCCUCUGUGGAAACCCCAUGGCCUUCACUGGCUGUGGUGGGGAAACAGGACUUUUACUUUGAAAAAAUUAGAGUGCUCCAGGCAGGCCUAUGCUCGAAUACAUUAGCAUGGAAUAAUAGAAUAGGACGUGUGGUUCUAUUUUGUUGGUUUCUAGGACCGCCGUAAUGAUUAAUAGGGACAGUCGGGGGCAUCAGUAUUCAAUUGUCAGAGGUGAAAUUCUUGGAUCUAUUGAAGACUAACUACUGCGAAAGCAUUUGCCAAGGAUGUUUUCAUUGAUAAGGAACGAAAGUUAGGGGAUCGAAGACGAUCAGAUACCGUCGUAGUCUUAACUAUAAACUAUGCCGACUAGGGAUCGGACGAUGUUAUUCUUUGACGCGUUCGGCACCUUUCGAGAAAUCAAAGUGCUUGGGCUCCAGGGGGAGUAUGGUCGCAAGGCUGAAACUUAAAGAAAUUGACGGAAGGGCACCACCAGGGGUGGAACCUGCGGCUUAAUUUGACUCAACACGGGGAAACUCACCAGGUCCAGACACAGUGAGGAUUGACAGAUUGAGAGCUCUUUCUUGAUUCUGUGGGUGGUGGUGCAUGGCCGUUCUUAGUUGGUGGAGUGAUUUGUCUGCUUAAUUGCGAUAACGAACGAGACCUUAACCUGCUAAAUAGCCCGUACUGCUUUGGCAGUUCGCCGGCUUCUUAGAGGGACUAUCGG
Molecule: ribosomal RNA, 730 nt
Filed under: uncultured eukaryote
Lineage: Eukaryota
Description: SSU rRNA
Rfam family: Eukaryotic small subunit ribosomal RNA
Source: RNAcentral